This 450-nucleotide ribosomal RNA is filed under the name uncultured bacterium. RNAcentral's name for it is "partial 16S ribosomal RNA". It matches the Rfam family "Bacterial small subunit ribosomal RNA", at positions 354 to 796 of the family's 1533-position model. The record is from RNAcentral.
GUGGGGAAUUUUGGACAAUGGGCGCAAGCCUGAUCCAGCAAUGCCGCGUGCAGGAAGAAGGCCUUCGGGUUGUAAACUGCUUUUGUACGGAACGAAACGGUCCUGGUUAAUACCCGGGGCUAAUGACGGUACCGUAAGAAUAAGCACCGGCUAACUACGUGCCAGCAGCCGCGGUAAUACGUAGGGUGCAAGCGUUAAUCGGAAUUACUGGGCGUAAAGCGUGCGCAGGCGGUUUUGUAAGACAGACGGGAAAUCCGCGGGCUCAACCUGGGAAUGGCGUUUGUGACUGCAAAGCUGGAGUGCGGCAGAGGGGGAUGGAAUUCCGCGUGUAGCAGUGAAAUGCGUAGAUAUGCGGAGGAACACCGAUGGCGAAGGCAAUCCCCUGGGCCUGCACUGACGCUCAUGCACGAAAGCGUGGGGAGCAAACAGGAUUAGAAACCCUGGUAGUCC